GCCGGCGUGGCGAAAUGGCAGACGCGCUAGACUCAAAAUCUUGUUCCCGCAAGGGAGUGGGGGUUCAAGUCCCUCCGCCGGCACCA
RNAcentral lists this transfer RNA (86 nucleotides) under Verrucomicrobiota bacterium. Its description in RNAcentral is "Verrucomicrobia bacterium (freshwater metagenome) tRNA-Leu". It matches the Rfam family "tRNA". Rfam says of the family: Transfer RNA (tRNA) molecules are approximately 80 nucleotides in length. Their secondary structure includes four short double-helical elements and three loops (D, anti-codon, and T loops). Lineage: Bacteria; Pseudomonadati; Verrucomicrobiota. The record is from RNAcentral.